AGUAAAGUAACAUAAUUGUUAUAAGAUACAUGACUCCACAAUAUUCAUAAAGGUGGUCUUUUACCCUACAGCAGUACAUGGUUUCAUUUGAGUUUUUAUCUCAUAUAUAGUACAUGUUGCCUUACAUAUUCAGUACAUUAUUUCGUACUGACGUCCCUCUUGGGGGACCUGCAUUCCAUGCUGCAGGUACAGAAGCUAAUAAACCUCCCUAGUAAGAGUACAGGAUAUCAACCGCAGUCACUGAGCUCCAGGUUGCUUCGGGGCUUUGAGUCUUAUCAUAUCUUUUUGCAUUGUAUAGUAUCUUAUCAUGAGGCGGGGCCUGUCCCGACCCUUAUAAGAUAACGUUUCUUGUCUAGAGGCUUUGUAGACUACGUAAAGUAUAGUAUGGUCAUGUAUCGUACCGUAGACAUUGUGGCUCCAACGGCCUAGUCAUAUAAUAUCUUUUGGCUUGCUAGUCCUAUUUAUCUUUUGAGGGCAUGUUUAGUAUGAAAGUAACUUAUAAUGUUCAUAGGUAAUGUAUCGCUACAGGUUGGUUCUCCCGAGCCUUACCGGCAACGGGUGCCAGUCCGCCUUAAUAGGAUUUGGGGCGUGACAAUACUGAUCCAACAGAUAACUCAUUUUGCAAAAGAUGAGUGAUCUAUUUUAGUAGAUAAGUGAUAUGUUUUUAUUAUUUCUAAUGGAUUACUUAUUUUCUGCAACAGGUUGGUUAUAGGUUGCAACAGAUAAACUACAUGGUGCAACAGAUGAGUGAUCUAUUUUUAUUAUUUUCAAAGGAUUGCUCAUCUGCUGUAACAGGUAGGUUAUAAGUUGCAACAGAAAACCUACUUGGUACAACCGAUGAGUGAUCUAUUUUUAUUAUUUUCAAAGGAUUGCUCAUCUGCUGUAACAGGUAGGUUAUAAGUUGCAACAGAAAACCUACUUGGUACAACCGAUGAGUGAUCUAUUUUUAUUAUUUUCAAAGGAUUGCUCAUCUGCUGUAACAGGUAGGUUAUAAGUUGCAACAGAAAACCUACUUGGUACAACCGAUGAGUGAUCUAUUUUUAUUAUUUUCAAAGGAUUGCUCAUCUGCUGUAACAGGUAGGUUAUAAGUUGCAACAGAAAACCUACUUGGUACAACCGAUGAGUGAUCUAUUUUUAUUAUUUUCAAAGGAUUGCUCAUCUGCUGUAACAGGUAGGUUAUAAGUUGCAACAGAAAACCUACUUGGUACAACCGAUGAGUGAUCUAUUUUUAUUAUUUUCAAAGGAUUGCUCAUCUGCUGUAACAGGUAGGUUAUAAGUUGCAACAGAAAACCUACUUGGUACAACCGAUGAGUGAUCUAUUUUUAUUAUUUUCAAAGGAUUGCUCAUCUGCUGUAACAGGUAGGUUAUAAGUUGCAACAGAAAACCUACUUGGUACAACCGAUGAGUGAUCUAUUUUUAUUAUUUUCAAAGGAUUGCUCAUCUGCUGUAACAGGUAGGUUAUAAGUUGCAACAGAAAACCUACUUGGUACAACCGAUGAGUGAUCUAUUUUUAUUAUUUUCAAAGGAUUGCUCAUCUGCUGUAACAGGUAGGUUAUAAGUUGCAACAGAAAACCUACUUGGUACAACCGAUGAGUGAUCUAUUUUUAUUAUUUUCAAAGGAUUGCUCAUCUGCUGUAACAGGUAGGUUAUAAGUUGCAACAGAAAACCUACUUGGUACAACCGAUGAGUGAUCUAUUUUUAUUAUUUUCAAAGGAUUGCUCAUCUGCUGUAACAGGUAGGUUAUAAGUUGCAACAGAAAACCUACUUGGUACAACCGAUGAGUGAUCUAUUUUUAUUAUUUUCAAAGGAUUGCUCAUCUGCUGUAACAGGUAGGUUAUAAGUUGCAACAGAAAACCUACUUGGUACAACCGAUGAGUGAUCUAUUUUUAUUAUUUUCAAAGGAUUGCUCAUCUGCUGUAACAGGUAGGUUAUAAGUUGCAACAGAAAACCUACUUGGUACAACCGAUGAGUGAUCUAUUUUUAUUAUUUUCAAAGGAUUGCUCAUCUGCUGUAACAGGUAGGUUAUAAGUUGCAACAGAAAACCUACUUGGUACAACCGAUGAGUGAUCUAUUUUUAUUAUUUUCAAAGGAUUGCUCAUCUGCUGUAACAGGUAGGUUAUAAGUUGCAACAGAAAACCUACUUGGUACAACCGAUGAGUGAUCUAUUUUUAUUAUUUUCAAAGGAUUGCUCAUCUGCUGUAACAGGUAGGUUAUAAGUUGCAACAGAAAACCUACUUGGUACAACCGAUGAGUGAUCUAUUUUUAUUAUUUUCAAAGGAUUGCUCAUCUGCUGUAACAGGUAGGUUAUAAGUUGCAACAGAAAACCUACUUGGUACAACCGAUGAGUGAUCUAUUUUUAUUAUUUUCAAAGGAUUGCUCAUCUGCUGUAACAGGUAGGUUAUAAGUUGCAACAGAAAACCUACUUGGUACAACCGAUGAGUGAUCUAUUUUUAUUAUUUUCAAAGGAUUGCUCAUCUGCUGUAACAGGUAGGUUAUAAGUUGCAACAGAAAACCUACUUGGUACAACCGAUGAGUGAUCUAUUUUUAUUAUUUUCAAAGGAUUGCUCAUCUGCUGUAACAGGUAGGUUAUAAGUUGCAACAGAAAACCUACUUGGUACAACCGAUGAGUGAUCUAUUUUUAUUAUUUUCAAAGGAUUGCUCAUCUGCUGUAACAGGUAGGUUAUAAGUUGCAACAGAAAACCUACUUGGUACAACCGAUGAGUGAUCUAUUUUUAUUAUUUUCAAAGGAUUGCUCAUCUGCUGUAACAGGUAGGUUAUAAGUUGCAACAGAAAACCUACUUGGUACAACCGAUGAGUGAUCUAUUUUUAUUAUUUUCAAAGGAUUGCUCAUCUGCUGUAACAGGUAGGUUAUAAGUUGCAACAGAAAACCUACUUGGUACAACCGAUGAGUGAUCUAUUUUUAUUAUUUUCAAAGGAUUGCUCAUCUGCUGUAACAGGUAGGUUAUAAGUUGCAACAGAAAACCUACUUGGUACAACCGAUGAGUGAUCUAUUUUUAUUAUUUUCAAAGGAUUGCUCAUCUGCUGUAACAGGUAGGUUAUAAGUUGCAACAGAAAACCUACUUGGUACAACCGAUGAGUGAUCUAUUUUUAUUAUUUUCAAAGGAUUGCUCAUCUGCUGUAACAGGUAGGUUAUAAGUUGCAACAGAAAACCUACUUGGUACAACCGAUGAGUGAUCUAUUUUUAUUAUUUUCAAAGGAUUGCUCAUCUGCUGUAACAGGUAGGUUAUAAGUUGCAACAGAAAACCUACUUGGUACAACCGAUGAGUGAUCUAUUUUUAUUAUUUUCAAAGGAUUGCUCAUCUGCUGUAACAGGUAGGUUAUAAGUUGCAACAGAAAACCUACUUGGUACAACCGAUGAGUGAUCUAUUUUUAUUAUUUUCAAAGGAUUGCUCAUCUGCUGUAACAGGUAGGUUAUAAGUUGCAACAGAAAACCUACUUGGUACAACCGAUGAGUGAUCUAUUUUUAUUAUUUUCAAAGGAUUGCUCAUCUGCUGUAACAGGUAGGUUAUAAGUUGCAACAGAAAACCUACUUGGUACAACCGAUGAGUGAUCUAUUUUUAUUAUUUUCAAAGGAUUGCUCAUCUGCUGUAACAGGUAGGUUAUAAGUUGCAACAGAAAACCUACUUGGUACAACCGAUGAGUGAUCUAUUUUUAUUAUUUUCAAAGGAUUGCUCAUCUGCUGUAACAGGUAGGUUAUAAGUUGCAACAGAAAACCUACUUGGUACAACCGAUGAGUGAUCUAUUUUUAUUAUUUUCAAAGGAUUGCUCAUCUGCUGUAACAGGUAGGUUAUAAGUUGCAACAGAAAACCUACUUGGUACAACCGAUGAGUGAUCUAUUUUUAUUAUUUUCAAAGGAUUGCUCAUCUGCUGUAACAGGUAGGUUAUAAGUUGCAACAGAAAACCUACUUGGUACAACCGAUGAGUGAUCUAUUUUUAUUAUUUUCAAAGGAUUGCUCAUCUGCUGUAACAGGUAGGUUAUAAGUUGCAACAGAAAACCUACUUGGUACAACCGAUGAGUGAUCUAUUUUUAUUAUUUUCAAAGGAUUGCUCAUCUGCUGUAACAGGUAGGUUAUAAGUUGCAACAGAAAACCUACUUGGUACAACCGAUGAGUGAUCUAUUUUUAUUAUUUUCAAAGGAUUGCUCAUCUGCUGUAACAGGUAGGUUAUAAGUUGCAACAGAAAACCUACUUGGUACAACCGAUGAGUGAUCUAUUUUUAUUAUUUUCAAAGGAUUGCUCAUCUGCUGUAACAGGUAGGUUAUAAGUUGCAACAGAAAACCUACUUGGUACAACCGAUGAGUGAUCUAUUUUUAUUAUUUUCAAAGGAUUGCUCAUCUGCUGUAACAGGUAGGUUAUAAGUUGCAACAGAAAACCUACUUGGUACAACCGAUGAGUGAUCUAUUUUUAUUAUUUUCAAAGGAUUGCUCAUCUGCUGUAACAGGUAGGUUAUAAGUUGCAACAGAAAACCUACUUGGUACAACCGAUGAGUGAUCUAUUUUUAUUAUUUUCAAAGGAUUGCUCAUCUGCUGUAACAGGUAGGUUAUAAGUUGCAACAGAAAACCUACUUGGUACAACCGAUGAGUGAUCUAUUUUUAUUAUUUUCAAAGGAUUGCUCAUCUGCUGUAACAGGUAGGUUAUAAGUUGCAACAGAAAACCUACUUGGUACAACCGAUGAGUGAUCUAUUUUUAUUAUUUUCAAAGGAUUGCUCAUCUGCUGUAACAGGUAGGUUAUAAGUUGCAACAGAAAACCUACUUGGUACAACCGAUGAGUGAUCUAUUUUUAUUAUUUUCAAAGGAUUGCUCAUCUGCUGUAACAGGUAGGUUAUAAGUUGCAACAGAAAACCUACUUGGUACAACCGAUGAGUGAUCUAUUUUUAUUAUUUUCAAAGGAUUGCUCAUCUGCUGUAACAGGUAGGUUAUAAGUUGCAACAGAAAACCUACUUGGUACAACCGAUGAGUGAUCUAUUUUUAUUAUUUUCAAAGGAUUGCUCAUCUGCUGUAACAGGUAGGUUAUAAGUUGCAACAGAAAACCUACUUGGUACAACCGAUGAGUGAUCUAUUUUUAUUAUUUUCAAAGGAUUGCUCAUCUGCUGUAACAGGUAGGUUAUAAGUUGCAACAGAAAACCUACUUGGUACAACCGAUGAGUGAUCUAUUUUUAUUAUUUUCAAAGGAUUGCUCAUCUGCUGUAACAGGUAGGUUAUAAGUUGCAACAGAAAACCUACUUGGUACAACCGAUGAGUGAUCUAUUUUUAUUAUUUUCAAAGGAUUGCUCAUCUGCUGUAACAGGUAGGUUAUAAGUUGCAACAGAAAACCUACUUGGUACAACCGAUGAGUGAUCUAUUUUUAUUAUUUUCAAAGGAUUGCUCAUCUGCUGUAACAGGUAGGUUAUAAGUUGCAACAGAAAACCUACUUGGUACAACCGAUGAGUGAUCUAUUUUUAUUAUUUUCAAAGGAUUGCUCAUCUGCUGUAACAGGUAGGUUAUAAGUUGCAACAGAAAACCUACUUGGUACAACCGAUGAGUGAUCUAUUUUUAUUAUUUUCAAAGGAUUGCUCAUCUGCUGUAACAGGUAGGUUAUAAGUUGCAACAGAAAACCUACUUGGUACAACCGAUGAGUGAUCUAUUUUUAUUAUUUUCAAAGGAUUGCUCAUCUGCUGUAACAGGUAGGUUAUAAGUUGCAACAGAAAACCUACUUGGUACAACCGAUGAGUGAUCUAUUUUUAUUAUUUUCAAAGGAUUGCUCAUCUGCUGUAACAGGUAGGUUAUAAGUUGCAACAGAAAACCUACUUGGUACAACCGAUGAGUGAUCUAUUUUUAUUAUUUUCAAAGGAUUGCUCAUCUGCUGUAACAGGUAGGUUAUAAGUUGCAACAGAAAACCUACUUGGUACAACCGAUGAGUGAUCUAUUUUUAUUAUUUUCAAAGGAUUGCUCAUCUGCUGUAACAGGUAGGUUAUAAGUUGCAACAGAAAACCUACUUGGUACAACCGAUGAGUGAUCUAUUUUUAUUAUUUUCAAAGGAUUGCUCAUCUGCUGUAACAGGUAGGUUAUAAGUUGCAACAGAAAACCUACUUGGUACAACCGAUGAGUGAUCUAUUUUUAUUAUUUUCAAAGGAUUGCUCAUCUGCUGUAACAGGUAGGUUAUAAGUUGCAACAGAAAACCUACUUGGUACAACCGAUGAGUGAUCUAUUUUUAUUAUUUUCAAAGGAUUGCUCAUCUGCUGUAACAGGUAGGUUAUAAGUUGCAACAGAAAACCUACUUGGUACAACCGAUGAGUGAUCUAUUUUUAUUAUUUUCAAAGGAUUGCUCAUCUGCUGUAACAGGUAGGUUAUAAGUUGCAACAGAAAACCUACUUGGUACAACCGAUGAGUGAUCUAUUUUUAUUAUUUUCAAAGGAUUGCUCAUCUGCUGUAACAGGUAGGUUAUAAGUUGCAACAGAAAACCUACUUGGUACAACCGAUGAGUGAUCUAUUUUUAUUAUUUUCAAAGGAUUGCUCAUCUGCUGUAACAGGUAGGUUAUAAGUUGCAACAGAAAACCUACUUGGUACAACCGAUGAGUGAUCUAUUUUUAUUAUUUUCAAAGGAUUGCUCAUCUGCUGUAACAGGUAGGUUAUAAGUUGCAACAGAAAACCUACUUGGUACAACCGAUGAGUGAUCUAUUUUUAUUAUUUUCAAAGGAUUGCUCAUCUGCUGUAACAGGUAGGUUAUAAGUUGCAACAGAAAACCUACUUGGUACAACCGAUGAGUGAUCUAUUUUUAUUAUUUUCAAAGGAUUGCUCAUCUGCUGUAACAGGUAGGUUAUAAGUUGCAACAGAAAACCUACUUGGUACAACCGAUGAGUGAUCUAUUUUUAUUAUUUUCAAAGGAUUGCUCAUCUGCUGUAACAGGUAGGUUAUAAGUUGCAACAGAAAACCUACUUGGUACAACCGAUGAGUGAUCUAUUUUUAUUAUUUUCAAAGGAUUGCUCAUCUGCUGUAACAGGUAGGUUAUAAGUUGCAACAGAAAACCUACUUGGUACAACCGAUGAGUGAUCUAUUUUUAUUAUUUUCAAAGGAUUGCUCAUCUGCUGUAACAGGUAGGUUAUAAGUUGCAACAGAAAACCUACUUGGUACAACCGAUGAGUGAUCUAUUUUUAUUAUUUUCAAAGGAUUGCUCAUCUGCUGUAACAGGUAGGUUAUAAGUUGCAACAGAAAACCUACUUGGUACAACCGAUGAGUGAUCUAUUUUUAUUAUUUUCAAAGGAUUGCUCAUCUGCUGUAACAGGUAGGUUAUAAGUUGCAACAGAAAACCUACUUGGUACAACCGAUGAGUGAUCUAUUUUUAUUAUUUUCAAAGGAUUGCUCAUCUGCUGUAACAGGUAGGUUAUAAGUUGCAACAGAAAACCUACUUGGUACAACCGAUGAGUGAUCUAUUUUUAUUAUUUUCAAAGGAUUGCUCAUCUGCUGUAACAGGUAGGUUAUAAGUUGCAACAGAAAACCUACUUGGUACAACCGAUGAGUGAUCUAUUUUUAUUAUUUUCAAAGGAUUGCUCAUCUGCUGUAACAGGUAGGUUAUAAGUUGCAACAGAAAACCUACUUGGUACAACCGAUGAGUGAUCUAUUUUUAUUAUUUUCAAAGGAUUGCUCAUCUGCUGUAACAGGUAGGUUAUAAGUUGCAACAGAAAACCUACUUGGUACAACCGAUGAGUGAUCUAUUUUUAUUAUUUUCAAAGGAUUGCUCAUCUGCUGUAACAGGUAGGUUAUAAGUUGCAACAGAAAACCUACUUGGUACAACCGAUGAGUGAUCUAUUUUUAUUAUUUUCAAAGGAUUGCUCAUCUGCUGUAACAGGUAGGUUAUAAGUUGCAACAGAAAACCUACUUGGUACAACCGAUGAGUGAUCACAUGCUGUGCACAGAUUAUUCAAGUAAUAAGAGUAAAGUAACAUAAUUAUUAUAAGAUACAUGACUCCACAACUUUCAUAAAGGUGGUCUUUUACCCUACAGCAGUACAUGGUUUCAUUUGAGUUUUUAUCUCAUAUAUAGUACAUGUUGCCUUACAUAUUCAGACCAUUAUUUCGUACUGACGUCCCUCUUGGGGGACCUGCAUUCCAUGCUGCAGGUACAGAAGCUAAUAAACCUCCCCAGUAAGAGUACAGGAUAUCAAC
This 8161-nucleotide long non-coding RNA is filed under the name Capsicum annuum. RNAcentral describes it as "long non-coding RNA (CANN_LNC015709)". Lineage: Eukaryota; Viridiplantae; Streptophyta; Magnoliopsida; Solanales; Solanaceae. The record is from RNAcentral.